RNAcentral lists this ribosomal RNA (524 nucleotides) under Attalus heydeni. RNAcentral's name for it is "partial 16S ribosomal RNA". The stretch from base 388 to 524 matches the Rfam family "Bacterial large subunit ribosomal RNA", at positions 2473 to 2610 of the family's 2925-position model. Lineage: Eukaryota; Metazoa; Arthropoda; Insecta; Coleoptera; Melyridae. The record is from RNAcentral.
CAUGUCCUUUUGAAUAUAAUUUAAGGUCUAAUCUGCCCACUGAAAUUUUUAAAUGGCCGCAGUAUUUUGACUGUGCUAAGGUAGCAUAAUAAUUAGUUUUUUAAUUGAAAGCUGGAAUGAAUGAUUGAAUGAGAUAAUAACUGUCUCAAUUUUAACUUAUUAGAAUUUUAUUUUUAAGUUAAAAAGCUUAAAUAUUUUUAAAAGACAAGAAGACCCUAUAGAGUUUAAUAUUUAAUUAUUUUUUUAUUAUUUUUUAAUUAAUAUAAAUAAAUAUAUAAAUAUUUUAUUGGGGUGAUAAAAAAAUUUAAAUAACUUUUUUUUUAAUUUUACAUUAAUUAAUGAAUUAUUGAUCCAUAAAUUAUGAUUAUAAGAUUAAAUUACCUUAGGGAUAACAGCGUAAUUUUUUUUGAGAGUUCAUAUCGAAAAAAAAGAUUGCGACCUCGAUGUUGGAUUAAAGUUAAUUUUUGGUGUAGAAGCUAAAAGUUUAAGUCUGUUCGACUUUUAAAACUUUACAUGAUCUGAGU